AUUGAACGCUGGCGGCAGGCCUAACACAUGCAAGUCGAGCGGAGCGGCGGACGGGUGAGUAAUGCCUAGGAAUCUGCCUGGUAGUGGGGGAUAACGUCCGGAAACGGGCGCUAAUACCGCAUACUAUCAGAUGAGCCUAGGUCGGAUUGGUUAGGUGGUGGGGUAAAGGCCUACCAAGGCGACGAUCCGUAACUGGUCUGAGAGGAUGAUCAGUCACAAUGGACUGGAGACACGGUCAAGACUCCUACGGGGGGAGGCAGUGGGGAAUAUUGGACAAUGGGCGAAAGCCGGAUCCGGCCAUGCCGCGUGUGUGAAGAGGGUCUUCGGAUGGUAAAGCACUUUAAGUUGGGAGGCGUUACCAACAGAAUAAGCACCGGCUAACUUCGUGCCAGCAGCCGCGGUAAUUC
RNAcentral lists this ribosomal RNA (407 nucleotides) under uncultured bacterium. RNAcentral describes it as "partial 16S ribosomal RNA". It matches the Rfam family "Bacterial small subunit ribosomal RNA", at positions 30 to 526 of the family's 1533-position model. The record is from RNAcentral.